This 1223-nucleotide ribosomal RNA is filed under the name Diplolaimelloides environmental sample. RNAcentral's name for it is "SSU rRNA". It matches the Rfam family "Eukaryotic small subunit ribosomal RNA", at positions 403 to 1652 of the family's 1831-position model. Lineage: Eukaryota; Metazoa; Nematoda; Chromadorea; Monhysterida; Monhysteridae. The record is from RNAcentral.
CCGGCUACCACUUCUAAGGAAGGCAGCAGGCGCGCAAAUUACCCAUUCUCAGAACGAGGAGGUAGUGACGAAAAAUACCAAGGUGAGGCUCAUUGAGUUUCGCCAUUGGAAUGAGAACAAUCUAAAUCCUUUAACGAGGAUCUAGUGGAGGGCAAGUCUGGUGCCAGCAGCCGCGGUAAUUCCAGCUCCGCAAGUGUAUUCCUAUACUGUUGCGGUUAAAAAGCUCGUAGUUGGAUCUGAGUGUUUAGCGCUUGGUGCAGUUCUGCUGUUACUGAGUGCGGCACAUAAUCGCCAAUUGGUUGCCAUCGUUGCCUUAACUGGUGAUGGUGGUUGACUGUUGGCAUGUUUACUUUGAACAAAUCAGAGUGCUCAAUACGGGCGUUUCGCUUGUAUGGUCGUGCAUGGAAUAAUAGAAUAGGACCUUGGUUCUAUUUUGUUGGUUUUCGGAAUCGAGGUAAUGAUUAAGAGGGACAGACGGGGGCAUUCGUAGCUGCAACGUGAGAGGUGAAAUUCUUGGAUUCGUUGCCAGGACGAACUACUGCGAAAGCAUUUGCCAAGAAUGUUUUCAUUAAUCAAGAACGAAAGUAAUGGGUUCGAAGGCGAUCAGAUACCGCCCUAGUCAUUACCGUAAACGAUUGUAAGCUGGGAGCUAGCAGGAGUCCUUUGUGACUCUGCUAGAACCCACCCGGAAACGAUAAGUUUUCGAUAUCCGGGGGAAGUAUACUUGCAAAUGCGAAACUUAAAGGAAUUGACGGAAGGGCACCACCAGGGGUGGGACUGCGGCUUAAUUUGACUCAACACGGGGAAACUCAUCCGGUCCGGACACCGUGAGGAUUGACAGAUUGAGAGCUCUUUCUUGAUUUGGUGGGCAGUGGUGCAUGGCCGUUCUUAGUUGGUGGAGUGAUUUGUCUGGUUUAUUCCGAUAACGAACGAGACUCUGGCCUACUAACUAGUUGCGCGAUCUUCUUGUCGUGCCAACUUCUUAGAGGGACAAGCGGUGCUCAGCCGCAUGAAAAAGAGCAAUAACAGGUCUGUGAUGCCCUUCGAUGUUCGGAGCUGCACGCGCGCUACACUGUGGGUGGCAGCAUGUUAGCUUGCCUCGCUCGCAAGAGUGGGGUAAUCGUUUGAAAAUCCCACGUGAUUGGGAUAGGGACUUGUAAUUAUUUCCCUUGAACGAGGAAUCCCUAGUAAGUGCAGGUCAUCAGCUUGCGCUGAUUACGUCC